UUAAGUUCAGCGGGUAUCCCUACCUGAUCCGAGGUCAAACGCAAGAAUAAUAGGCUUGCUGGACGCUCGACAAGCAGUCUGAAAGCAACGCAUGUGCUGCGCUCCCAGGCUUUUGCCGGCUGCCAAUUGCUUUAAGGCGAGUCUACGCGCAAUGGCGAGACAAACACCCAACACCAAGCAGAGCUUGAGGGUACAAAUGA
This 200-nucleotide unclassified non-coding RNA is filed under the name Setophaeosphaeria sp. RNAcentral's name for it is "partial internal transcribed spacer 2". The record is from RNAcentral. Lineage: Eukaryota; Fungi; Ascomycota; Dothideomycetes; Pleosporales; Phaeosphaeriaceae.